RNAcentral lists this ribosomal RNA (266 nucleotides) under uncultured archaeon. Its description in RNAcentral is "partial 16S ribosomal RNA". It matches the Rfam family "Archaeal small subunit ribosomal RNA", at positions 748 to 1008 of the family's 1478-position model. The record is from RNAcentral.
CAGCCGUAAACAAUGUGCGUUAGGUGUGUCGGUAACCACGCGUUACUGAUGCGCCGAAGAGAAAUCGUGAAACGCACCACCUGGGAAGUACGGUCGCAAGGCUGAAACUUAAAGGAAUUGGCGGGGGAGCACCACAACAGGUGGAGCCUGCGGUUUAAUUGGAUUCAACGCCGGACAUCUCACCGGAUAAGACAGCUGAAUGAUUGUCAAUCUGAAGGUUUUACAUGACUAGAUUUUCAGAGAGGUGGUGCAUGGCGUCAGUGACU